Molecule: ribosomal RNA, 387 nt
Filed under: Chaetoceros neogracilis
Lineage: Eukaryota; Bacillariophyta; Thalassiosirophyceae; Chaetocerotales; Chaetocerotaceae
Description: partial Bacterial large subunit ribosomal RNA
Rfam family: Bacterial large subunit ribosomal RNA
Source: RNAcentral
GGGGUGAAAGGCCAAUCAAACUCGGAGAUAGCUGGUUCUCCGCGAAAUCUAUUUAGGUAGAGCGUCAUCCGAAUACCCCGGGGGGUAGAGCACUGGAUGGGUAAUGGGGCCCCACAGGCUUACUGAUCCUAACCAAACUCCGAAUACCCGGGAGUACUAGAUGGCAGACACACUGCGGAUGCUAACGUCCGUAGUGAAGAGGGAAACAACCCUGACCUCCAGCUAAGGCCCCUAAUUCAUGGCUAAGUGGGAAAGCAGGUGAGACGGCCAAAACAACCAGGAGGUUGGCUUAGAAGCAGCCAUCCUUUAAAGAUAGCGUAACAGCUCACUGGUCUAAAUAAGCUGUCUUGCGGCGAAGAUGUAACGGGGCUCAAGCCAUGAGCCGAA